AUACGUAGGGGGCGAGCGUUGUCCGGAAUGAUUGGGCGUAAAGGGCGCGUAGGCGGCCCGGUAAGUCUGGAGUGAAAGUCCUGUUUUUAAGAUGGGAAUUGCUUUGGAUACUGUCGGGCUUGAGUGCAGGAGAGGUAAGUGGAAUUCCUAGUGUAGCGGUGAAAUGCGUAGAGAUUGGGAGGAACACCAGUGGCGAAGGCGACUUACUGGACUGUAACUGACGCUGAGGCGCGAAAGUGUGGGGAGCAAACAGGAUUAGAUACCCUGGUAGUCCACACUGUAAACGAUGAAUGCUAGGUGUAAUAGGUAUCGACCCCUUUUGUGCCGGAGUCAACACAAUAAGCAUUCCGCCUGGGGAGUACGGCCGCAAGGUUGAAACUUAAAGGAAUUGACGGGG
Molecule: ribosomal RNA, 397 nt
Filed under: uncultured bacterium
Lineage: Bacteria
Description: partial 16S ribosomal RNA
Rfam family: Bacterial small subunit ribosomal RNA
Source: RNAcentral